This 386-nucleotide ribosomal RNA is filed under the name uncultured bacterium. RNAcentral describes it as "bacterial SSU rRNA". It matches the Rfam family "Bacterial small subunit ribosomal RNA", at positions 9 to 379 of the family's 1533-position model. The record is from RNAcentral.
GAGUUUGACGUGGCUCAGGAUGAACGCUGGCGGCGUGCUUAACACAUGCAAGUCGAACGGGAAUUAUUUUAUUGAAACUUCGGUGGAUUUAAUUUAAUUCUAGUGGCGGACGGGUGAGUAACGCGUGGGUAACCUGCCUUAUACAGGGGGAUAACAGCCGGAAACGGCUGCUAAUACCGCAUAAGCGCACAGAGGCGCAUGCUUCCGUGUGAAAAACUGAGGUGGUAUAAGAUGGACCCGCGUUGGAUUAGCUAGUUGGCAGGGCAGCGGCCUACCAAGGCGACGAUCCAUAGCCGGCCUGAGAGGGUGGACGGCCACAUUGGGACUGAGACACGGCCCAGACUCCUACGGGAGGCAGCAGUGGGGAAUAUUGCACAAUGGGGGAA